This 222-nucleotide long non-coding RNA is filed under the name Panax ginseng (ginseng). RNAcentral's name for it is "long non-coding RNA (PGIN_LNC007187)". The record is from RNAcentral. Lineage: Eukaryota; Viridiplantae; Streptophyta; Magnoliopsida; Apiales; Araliaceae.
UUGUAUACAAGUUGUAAUACUUUUUAGUAACCCAGAUGAAUCAGUUGAAAACUCCAUGUGAGAAUAGAAUUCAACAAUGAGACUAGGAUAAAUAGAUUUGUCAUGGAAAGAAACUAGACAGUCCCACCCAACAUUUUUAAAGUUGUCAAAUAGUUUUGGAAAACCAUGAAAGGUAAUGACAUUGCCAGGACAAAGAUUAUGUCGCAUGGAUAUAUAUUUAGA